CCUACGGGAGGCAGCAGUGGGGAAUAUUGCACAAUGGGGGGAACCCUGAUGCAGCGACGCCGCGUGAGUGAAGAAGUAUCUCGGUACGUAAAGCUCUAUCAGCAGGGAAGAAAAUGACGGUACCUGACUAAGAAGCCCCGGCUAACUACGUGCCAGCAGCCGCGGUAAUACGUAGGGGGCAAGCGUUAUCCGGAUUUACUGGGGGUAAAGGGAGCGUAGACGGGACUGCAAGUCCGGAGUGAAAGCCCAAGGCUUAACCAUGGGACUGCUUUGGAAACUGUGGAGCUUGAGUGCGGGAGGGGUAGGCGGAAUUCUCGGUGUAGCAGUGAAAUGCGUAGAUAUCGAGAGGAACACUCGUGGCGAAGGCGGGUUCCUGGACAUUAACUGACGCUGAGGCACGAAGGCCAGGGGAGCGAAAGGGAUUAGAUACCCUUGUAGUC
This 440-nucleotide ribosomal RNA is filed under the name uncultured bacterium. RNAcentral's name for it is "partial 16S ribosomal RNA". It matches the Rfam family "Bacterial small subunit ribosomal RNA", at positions 338 to 795 of the family's 1533-position model. The record is from RNAcentral.